Non-coding RNA from Mauremys reevesii (Reeves's turtle), 1019 nucleotides. The record is from the annotation of a RefSeq genome assembly. Lineage: Eukaryota; Metazoa; Chordata; Testudines; Geoemydidae.
AGACAGCGCUCGGCUUCCCUCUGCGGGGAAAGGGCCUAAUUCGUUUCUCCUGACACGGCUGGGGGCAAGGGUGCCUGAGUGGAGAGAAAACGGAGCCGCUCCGUGCAGAAGCGCAGAGACACCGAAUCUUCAUUGAGAAAAUGCUUAAAACCCUGGUCUCCACGCUCGUGCUGAUCCUUGUUUCCAGCGGAGCGGUGGACGGAAAGGUUUCUCAGCCUGCUGCGCUGUCUUUGCUGGCGGGGGGCAGGGCUGACCUCACCUGUAACCACAGUGUCGCUGCCUAUGACAGAGUUAUUUGGUACUAUCAGAGCCCCAGAGCUGCCCCUCGAGCUGUGAUCUCUGGCUACAAGUCCGCGGAGACAUCGGAGCGGUUUGAACUGUCCAUUGACCCCUCCCACCAGUCUGCCCUGCUGCGCAUCACCAAGGUGGCGGUGGAGGACUUGGGGGUGUAUUACUGCACCCUGAGAGACACAACGAGGGGAAAUGCAGCGGCCAUGACCGGGAUGCUCUGCAGUGCAGAGUUAAAGUGAAGGAGCUGUGGAAUGUCUACCACAAAGUGUGGGAGGCAAACCACCACUCCGGUGCUGCCCCAUGACCUGCCGUUUCUACAAAGAGCUGGACACAAUACUUGGUGGCGCCCCACCUCCACUCCAAAGACCACCGUGGACACUUCAGAGGCAGUAGCAGGACAGAGUUCAACAAGGCAGGAGGAGGAAAGUGGGAGCGAGGGUGCUGAGGAGGAGGGGGACAGCACAGCUUCCCAAGAUGCAUGCGGCCAGGAGCUGUUUUCAAGCCAGGAGGAAGGUAGCCAGUUGCAGCAGACUGUGCUUGGGCAAAAAUAACAGUUGGUGCCCGGUAAGUGGCUUUUAUUUGAGAAGGAAGUUAUUUGGUGAAGGCUCAUGGGGGAAGAGGGUUAGGGCUGCAUGCAUGCCUAGAUGCAGUAUAGGGUGUUGAUGUGCUCUCUCACAUGGUGGUAAUCAGCCUCAGUGAAUUCUUCAAAGGUCUCAUUCAGAAGCUGG